This 480-nucleotide ribosomal RNA is filed under the name uncultured bacterium. RNAcentral describes it as "partial 16S ribosomal RNA". It matches the Rfam family "Bacterial small subunit ribosomal RNA", at positions 28 to 507 of the family's 1533-position model. The record is from RNAcentral.
GAUGAACGCUAGCGGCAGGCCUAAUACAUGCAAGUCGAGGGGUAUGGGUUGCUUGCAACCCAGAGACCGGCGCACGGGUGCGUAACGCGUAUGCAAUCUACCUUAAUCAGGGGGAUAGCCCGGAGAAAUCCGGAUUAACACCGCAUAACAUUGAGUUGUGGCAUCACAGUUCAAUCAAAUAUUUAUAGGAUUAAGAUGAGCAUGCGUGACAUUAGUUAGUUGGUGAGGUAACGGCUCACCAAGACCACGAUGUCUAGGGGAUCUGAGAGGAUGACCCCCCACACUGGUACUGAGACACGGACCAGACUCCUACGGGAGGCAGCAGUAAGGAAUAUUGGUCAAUGGGCGCAAGCCUGAACCAGCCAUGCCGCGUGCAGGAAGACGGCCCUAUGGGUUGUAAACUGCUUUUGUACCGGAAUAAACCUUCUCUUGCGAGAGAAGCUGAACGUACGGUAAGAAUAAGGAUCGGCUAACUCCGUG